Molecule: long non-coding RNA, 1142 nt
Organism: Chinchilla lanigera (long-tailed chinchilla)
Lineage: Eukaryota; Metazoa; Chordata; Mammalia; Rodentia; Chinchillidae
Exons: 7
Source: RefSeq, a predicted model, not a curated record
UUGGGCUAGAUCCGCCUUCUGAGUUAAACAUCAGCCCAGGCAUGGGACGCCCAUAACUAACAAUGGGUAGAGAUGACCAGGCGACUUAGUUUAUAUACAAUUCCUCCCCAGCUGGGCUUUGCACAGUAUGAUAUUUCCUCCAAGGGCGUCAUGAGCCUGGGUCAGAUCUCCAACCUGGUGUCACUAACUGGUUACCAGCCCAUACCGUUGGAAAGGAGCUGCUUCUUUUAUCCUGUUUGAGUUCCAGACUGUGUUAAAAACGUUUGCUUUUGCCAGAAAUGACCUAGUUGAUUUCACUCCAGGUAUGUGGGAGCCGGAUGUCUUCUGUGGUGGUUUUGCUUCAGCUGCAUACUGAAGCUCCCAGGCAGUGGUGCAGCAGGUCCUAUAAAAUAGGUGAGGAGGGACAGAUAAAAUAUUGUAAUAUCAGGAAGCAUGAGAUGGUGUGAGAUUAUAUUGAAGAACUAAAGGAAGAAAGACAUUCUCUCUCCAAAAUUGACAAUAACAUAAACAAGGACAAGCACUGUGUCAUCCCUUGAAAAACUUGUGACCGAUAGAGAAAAGAAUGGCCAUCGGUCACUUCUAGACUGAUCAGGAGAAAACAUAUUUUUCGAAACUCGCAAGCAAAACUGGAUGACAGACUCUGUACUUUGUAGGAUCAAAAAGAAGUGGAACAGCUUAUAAAGCGCAAAGAAAGAUAUAAUUUCCAUGUCGUAGUCACUACCUACGGUGUUCCUGCGGCUUCACCUCUGAUAAUCGACUGCGUGUCCUCUACCGUUUUCUGUGUGUCAAGAACAGUGCUAAAAAUUUACAAUCUUACACUACACAGUAUUAGAAAGAAAAAAGAUUCCUUUGAAAUGAAGAAAGGAAAGAAGGUAUUUAGAUAGACUCAGACUGCCAAAAUAUACCAGCCCUGUUUCUCAUCUUCUCUUCCACUUACAUGAAAGAAGAGCAUCACCAGCUUCUCACAGAGCGCAUUGUUUAGGACAAUGAGAUAAUAAGGCCAUCUGCUUGCAAAUAACUAAGAGGGAGUAGGCACCUGUUUCCUCUUUUAGGCUAAUGUUUAUGGAAAUAAUAAUGUACGGAUACCUAUUACACAUUUUCAUCUUUAUUUAUACUUUAUCUCUCACCCCAGAGAAACAAGC